Molecule: ribosomal RNA, 506 nt
Filed under: uncultured bacterium
Lineage: Bacteria
Description: partial 16S ribosomal RNA
Rfam family: Bacterial small subunit ribosomal RNA
Source: RNAcentral
AGUGAACGCUGGCGGUAGGCCUAACACAUGCAAGUCGAACGGCAGCACAGGAGAGCUUGCUCUCUGGGUGGCGAGUGGCGGACGGGUGAGGAAUACAUCGGAAUCUACUUUUUCGUGGGGGAUAACGUAGGGAAACUUACGCUAAUACCGCAUACGACCUACGGGUGAAAGCAGGGGAUCUUCGGACCUUGCGCGAUUGAAUGAGCCGAUGUCGGAUUAGCUAGUUGGCGGGGUAAAGGCCCACCAAGGCGACGAUCCGUAGCUGGUCUGAGAGGAUAUGCGGACACACUGGAAAUGAGACACGGUCAAGACUCCUACGGGAGGCAGCAGUGGGGAAUAUUGGACAAGGGGCGCAAGCCUGAGCCAGCCAUACCGCGUGGGUGAAGAAGGCCUUCGGGUUGUAAAGCCCUUUUGUUGGGAAAGAAAUCCAGCUGGUUAAUACCCGGUUGGGAUGACGGUACCCAAAGAAUAAGCACCGGCUAACUUCGUGCCAGCCGCCGCCGUAA